Equus quagga is the source of this 791-nucleotide long non-coding RNA. RefSeq lists it as uncharacterized. The record is from RefSeq and is a predicted model, not a curated record. The transcript has 3 exons. NCBI's taxonomy places the organism in Eukaryota, Metazoa, Chordata, Mammalia, Perissodactyla, Equidae.
UGUACUGUAUUCGCCUUUCUUCUUGUGAUGACGUGAGAUGAUACAAUGCCUACGAGAUGAGGUGAACUGAGAAGAAUGACGAAGGCAUUGUGACACAACAUUAGGCUACUAUUGACCUUUUGAGGAUACAUGAGAAGGAGGAUCAUCUGCUGCAGGGGCCUGUUCUCAGACUAUGCUUACACAGGAGUCCUAACUGACCAGGAAGGACAGUCGCUCUCACCUGCAGUUCCAGCACUGGAAUGGUCACCAAGGGUCUUCAAAUCUAAAGGAACUGUACUUGACAUACUACACUUAAGCACCACCACCCAAGGACCCUGAUUCACAUCUGGACCUGCUUUAAAUGAUGAGAUUCUGGACUUCAUGUUAAUGCUGUAAUGGAUGAAACUUUCGGAGGUCUUGGGAGGAGGUGAUUGCAUUUUGCACAUAGGAGGUAUGUAAAUAAUUUUCGGCUAGAGUAUGUACCCCAAUGGUUUUAAAUUACGUUCACAAAUUCUUCCCUUCAAAGAUGGAGCUUAGUUACCUUCCCCGUGAUACGUGGGCUGGAUUUAGUGGCUCACUUCUAAUGAACAGAAUAUUGUGGAAACAAAAGACUGAAAUGUCUGAGACUAGGUCACAAAAGGCAUUGCAGCAUCCUUGCUCACUCUAUUGCAUCACUCCCUCUAGAAGCGAGCUAGUCACGUCUCAAGAACACUUGGGUAGACCAGUAGAGAGGCCCACAGGGAGGAACUGAGGCUUUCUCCCAACAGCCAGCAAAGAACUGGAGUUUUCCUGUCAAGCCAAGUAAGCAAGCC